Molecule: ribosomal RNA, 497 nt
Filed under: uncultured bacterium
Lineage: Bacteria
Description: partial 16S ribosomal RNA
Rfam family: Bacterial small subunit ribosomal RNA
Source: RNAcentral
GACGAACGCUGGCGGCGUGCCUAAUACAUGCAAGUAGAACGCUGAAGAGAGGAGCUUGCUCUUCUUGGAUGAGUUGCGAACGGGUGAGUAACGCGUAGGUAACCUGCCUGGUAGCGGGGGAUAACUACUGGAAACGAUAGCUAAUACCGCAUAAAAUGGAUUAUCGCAUGAUAAUCCAUUGAAAGGUGCAAAUGCAUCACUACCAGAUGGACCUGCGUUGUAUUAGCUAGUUGGUGGGGUAACGGCUCACCAAAGCGACGAUACAUAGCCGACCUGAGAGGGUGAUCGGCCACACUGGGACUGAGACACGGCCCAGACUCCUACGGGAGGCAGCAGUAGGGAAUCUUCGGCAAUGGACGGAAGUCUGACCGAGCAACGCCGCGUGAGUGAAGAAGGUUUUCGGAUCGUAAAGCUCUGUUGUAAGAGAAGAACGAGUGUGAGAGUGGAAAGUUCACACUGUGACGGUAUCUUACCAGAAAGGGACGGCUAACUACGUG